GGAUUGCUUUUAAUGUGUCUGACCGAGUUGAUUCUUUAAGAAUUGCCUUUGGCAUAAGUCUCCGGUUUGUCUAUUUAGAGACGAUCAUUUUAGAGCGACUCGCUCAAAGCCUUUGUGGAGCAGGUUUCCAGCACAUGUUGGUCAAACGUACGCCAAAUGGUGGUUGGAGCCGGAAAUAAAGAGAACAGUCUGUCAAGGAUUGAUGCUGUGUGCGGGAGAUUCUGCACUCAUUAGAGCUUUGAGAGGGUGCAGUUUAACCAGCCAAAGCUGCUGCAAGGAGCUGCCUGCCUGUGUGUCUCCCUGCCUGUGAACUUGUGACCCCGUUCGCAUGGAGGGCCAUUCAGAUCAAGAAAAAGAGAAAGCAGUGAUUUGCAGAUGGGACGUUAAACUGAGGUCCUGCCUGCCUGUUCAGACGGAUGUUAAAGAUCCCAAGAUGGUGCAGUGAUAAUCUAGAAAUGGAACAAGGACCGAGGUUCUAAAAGCACAGCAAGAAGCAAAACUGAUUGAUGAGUGACAUCAGAAAGCAACAGCUCAUUGAGGAAUGAAAUAAAAACAGAAUCUGCCAGAACUACAUCACAGGACCAUGUAUUUGCUAUUAAAGUUUGUUCAAUGUUUCAUGUAUGACCCUUUAUCAGAAGUGAAUUUACCCCCACAUGUAAUUGAUUUCUCUUCUGAUCCCACUAUUUAAGGAAUGUUGUUGCUUGCUUGAAGGGAUCUGCGUGUGUCAGAUACUUGACUGACCAAAUAAAAAUUGGAAUGUU
Callorhinchus milii (elephant shark) is the source of this 761-nucleotide long non-coding RNA. RefSeq lists it as uncharacterized. The record is from RefSeq and is a predicted model, not a curated record. The transcript is spliced from 3 exons. NCBI's taxonomy places the organism in Eukaryota, Metazoa, Chordata, Chondrichthyes, Chimaeriformes, Callorhinchidae.